RNAcentral lists this ribosomal RNA (1054 nucleotides) under Escherichia coli. RNAcentral's name for it is "partial 23S ribosomal RNA". It matches the Rfam family "Bacterial large subunit ribosomal RNA", at positions 165 to 1257 of the family's 2925-position model. The record is from RNAcentral. Lineage: Bacteria; Pseudomonadati; Pseudomonadota; Gammaproteobacteria; Enterobacterales; Enterobacteriaceae.
CAUAGGUUAAUGAGGCGAACCGGGGGAACUGAAACAUCUAAGUACCCCGAGGAAAAGAAAUCAACCGAGAUUCCCCCAGUAGCGGCGAGCGAACGGGGAGCAGCCCAGAGCCUGAAUCAGUGUGUGUGUUAGUGGAAGCGUCUGGAAAGGCGCGCGAUACAGGGUGACAGCCCCGUACACAAAAAUGCACAUACUGUGAGCUCGAUGAGUAGGGCGGGACACGUGGUAUCCUGUCUGAAUAUGGGGGGACCAUCCUCCAAGGCUAAAUACUCCUGACUGACCGAUAGUGAACCAGUACCGUGAGGGAAAGGCGAAAAGAACCCCGGCGAGGGGAGUGAAAAAGAACCUGAAACCGUGUACGUACAAGCAGUGGGAGCACGCUUAGGCGUGUGACUGCGUACCUUUUGUAUAAUGGGUCAGCGACUUAUAUUCUGUAGCAAGGUUAACCGAAUAGGGGAGCCGAAGGGAAACCGAGUCUUAACUGGGCGUUAAGUUGCAGGGUAUAGACCCGAAACCCGGUGAUCUAGCCAUGGGCAGGUUGAAGGUUGGGUAACACUAACUGGAGGACCGAACCGACUAAUGUUGAAAAAUUAGCGGAUGACUUGUGGCUGGGGGUGAAAGGCCAAUCAAACCGGGAGAUAGCUGGUUCUCCCCGAAAGCUAUUUAGGUAGCGCCUCGUGAAUUCAUCUCCGGGGGUAGAGCACUGUUUCGGCAAGGGGGUCAUCCCGACUUACCAACCCGAUGCAAACUGCGAAUACCGGAGAAUGUUAUCACGGGAGACACACGGCGGGUGCUAACGUCCGUCGUGAAGAGGGAAACAACCCAGACCGCCAGCUAAGGUCCCAAAGUCAUGGUUAAGUGGGAAACGAUGUGGGAAGGCCCAGACAGCCAGGAUGUUGGCUUAGAAGCAGCCAUCAUUUAAAGAAAGCGUAAUAGCUCACUGGUCGAGUCGGCCUGCGCGGAAGAUGUAACGGGGCUAAACCAUGCACCGAAGCUGCGGCAGCGACGCUGAUGCGUUGUUGGGUAGGGGAGCGUUCUGUAAGCCUGUGAAGGU